RNAcentral lists this ribosomal RNA (374 nucleotides) under Ehrlichia canis. Its description in RNAcentral is "bacterial SSU rRNA". It matches the Rfam family "Bacterial small subunit ribosomal RNA", at positions 73 to 480 of the family's 1533-position model. Lineage: Bacteria; Pseudomonadati; Pseudomonadota; Alphaproteobacteria; Rickettsiales; Anaplasmataceae. The record is from RNAcentral.
GCCUCUGGCUAUAGGAAAUUGUUAGUGGCAGACGGGUGAGUAAUGCGUAGGAAUCUACCUAGUAGUACGGAAUAGCCAUUAGAAAUGGUGGGUAAUACUGUAUAAUCCCCGAGGGGGAAAGAUUUAUCGCUAUUAGAUGAGCCUACGUUAGAUUAGCUAGUUGGUGAGGUAAUGGCUUACCAAGGCUAUGAUCUAUAGCUGGUCUGAGAGGACGAUCAGCCACACUGGAACUGAGAUACGGUCCAGACUCCUACGGGAGGCAGCAGUGGGGAAUAUUGGACAAUGGGCGAAAGCCUGAUCCAGCUAUGCCGCGUGAGUGAAGAAGGCCUUCGGGUUGUAAAACUCUUUCAAUAGGGAAGAUAAUGACGGUACCU